Molecule: transfer RNA, 82 nt
Filed under: Gemmatimonadota bacterium
Lineage: Bacteria; Pseudomonadati; Gemmatimonadota
Also listed under: 1 other name
Description: tRNA-Leu
Rfam family: tRNA
About the family: Transfer RNA (tRNA) molecules are approximately 80 nucleotides in length. Their secondary structure includes four short double-helical elements and three loops (D, anti-codon, and T loops). Further hydrogen bonds mediate the characteristic L-shaped molecular structure. tRNAs have two regions of fundamental functional importance: the anti-codon, which is responsible for specific mRNA codon recognition, and the 3' end, to which the tRNAs corresponding amino acid is attached (by aminoacyl-tRNA synthetases). tRNAs cope with the degeneracy of the genetic code in two manners: having more than one tRNA (with a specific anti-codon) for a particular amino acid; and 'wobble' base-pairing, i.e. permitting non-standard base-pairing at the 3rd anti-codon position.
Source: RNAcentral
GCGAGAGUGGCGUAAUUGGUAGCCGCGCAGGACUUAGGAUCCUGUGCCGCAAGGCGUGGGGGUUCGAGUCCCCCCUCUCGCA